GAGGAUAUAGCUCAGCAGUAGAGCACAUGCUUAGCAUGCAUGAGGUCAUGAUGUCCUGGGUUCAAUCCCCAGCACCGCCA
RNAcentral lists this transfer RNA (80 nucleotides) under Camelus bactrianus (Bactrian camel). It matches the Rfam family "tRNA". Rfam says of the family: Transfer RNA (tRNA) molecules are approximately 80 nucleotides in length. RNAcentral also lists the same sequence under 2 other names. Lineage: Eukaryota; Metazoa; Chordata; Mammalia; Artiodactyla; Camelidae. The record is from Rfam by way of RNAcentral.